GCCAUCUUUCCGGAAGCUCAUGGAGCACAAGCAGAACUCGAGUUUGUCGGAAAUAAUUUUAAUAUCCUGUGAAAAUGACCUUCAUUUAUGCCGAGAAUAUUUUGCCAGAGGCAUAGAUGUUCACAAUGCAGAGUUCGUUCUGACUGGAGUGCUCACUCAAACGCUGGACUAUGAAUCAUAUCCUUUCCAAAAGAGAAUUAAAAAGUAGACGGGUUAGAUAUGAAAUGGAUUUCCCAGGUUAAUAAGGCAGUACCUUUCCUGUUUUGCAAGCCAUUUUUCCUUUCUUUGCUAUUGUGAUUUAUGCAGUGAACAAUUCUUUUCUCUUCAGAAUAUUCAUUUGAGUUGCUAGUAAAAAUAUUCUCUUAACUUACUGAGAGUUCAGUUUUAAUAGGUGAUGUUAAUUAGAAAGGAUCUAUACUGUCUAGUUUAUGGAGGUAUUAAAGAAUUUGACAAUUAGAUAAAAUAGAAAAUAAUUGCAAAAAUAAAUAUAUGUUUCUUUUUAUCAGCU
This 508-nucleotide long non-coding RNA is filed under the name Homo sapiens (human). RNAcentral describes it as "HSALNT0131162". Lineage: Eukaryota; Metazoa; Chordata; Mammalia; Primates; Hominidae. The record is from RNAcentral.